UACAGAGGUCCCAAGCGUUGUUCGGAUUCACUGGGCGUAAAGGGUGCGUAGGCGGGUCUUUAAGUCAGGGGGGAAAUCCUGGAGCUCAACUCCAGAACUGCCUUUGAUACUGAAGAUCUUGAGUUCGGGAGAGGUGAGUGGAACUGCGAGUGUAGAGGUGAAAUUCGUAGAUAUUCGCAAGAACACCAGUGGCGAGGGCGGCUCACUGGCCCGAUACUGACGCUGAGGCGCGAAAGCGUGGGGAGCAAACAGG
Molecule: ribosomal RNA, 253 nt
Filed under: uncultured bacterium
Lineage: Bacteria
Description: partial 16S ribosomal RNA
Rfam family: Bacterial small subunit ribosomal RNA
Source: RNAcentral